CGUACUGCGAGAUCGUCCCCCCCCUUCGAUUGAACACGCCCAAUUCUUCGGAGCAUCAUAGAAUUUUGCAUGGCGAAGCCUGAGGCAGCAGCCGUCGACGAUGAAGGUUUCGAUCGUAAGUCUUUUCGCGUGACGAGAACGACGUAGCGCAGAUAAGUGUCGCUACUACGUGCCAGCAGCCGCGGUAACACGUAGACGCAAGCGUAUCCGGAAUACUGGGCGUAAAGGGCGUGUAGGCGGCACGGUAAGUCAACCGUGAAAGCUCCCGGCUAAACUGGAGAGGUCGGAUGAGACUGCCGAGCUAGAGGGUCGUAGAGGGGUGUGGAAUUCCGGGUGUAGUGGUGAAAUGCGUAGAGAUCCGGAGGAACACCAGAGGCGAAGGCGGCACCCUGGACGACACCAGACGCUGAGACGCGACAGCACGGGGAGCGAACGGGAUUAGAAACCCCGGUAGUCCGUGCCGUAAACGAUGUGCACUAGAUGUUCGGUCCUCUACGGGGGAGUGAGCGUCGCAGCCAACGCGGUAAGUGCACCGCCUGGGGAGUACGGUCGCAAGGCUAAAACUCAAAGGAAUUGACGGGGCCCCGCACAAGCAGCGGAGCGUGUGGUUUAAUUCGAGGCUACACGAAGAACCUUACCAGGGUUUGACAUGCUAGUGGUAGUGAAGUGAAAACGGAACGACCCUUCGGGGAGCUAGCACAGGUGCUGCAUGGCUGUCGUCAGCUCGUGUCGUGAGAUGUCAGGUUAAGUCCUGUAACGAGCGCAACCCUCGUCGUUAGUUAUACGUGUCUAACGAGACUGCCCGUGAUAAGCGGGAGGAAGGUGAGGAUGACGUCAAGUCAGCAUGGCCUUUAUAUCCUGGGCUACACACACGCUACAAUGGCCAGUACAAUGGGCAGCCAAGCCGCGAGGCGGAGCCAAUCCCGUAAAGCUGGUCUCAGUUCGGAUUGCAGGCUGCAACUCGCCUGCAUGAAGUCGGAGUUGCUAGUAACCGCGCGUCAGCCAUAGUGCGGUGAAUACGUUCCCGGGGAUUGUACACACCGCCCGUCACGUCAUGGAAGUUGGCAACGCCUGAAGUCGGUGAGCUAACCCGCAAGGGAGGCAGCCGCCCAAGGCGGGGUCGGUAACUGGGACGAAGUCGUAACAAGGUAGCCGUA
This 1157-nucleotide ribosomal RNA is filed under the name uncultured bacterium. Its description in RNAcentral is "bacterial SSU rRNA". It matches the Rfam family "Bacterial small subunit ribosomal RNA", at positions 288 to 1504 of the family's 1533-position model. The record is from RNAcentral.